AUGCGUUGCACUCACUGGGCACAGGAAUCAGGAGAAAAAGAUUUCACUGUGACUGAGAAAUCUCUAGAAACCUUUUAUUCUUUCCAGGAGCCCCUCUGGGACACAACCUUCAAAAUCACCCCCAAGACAUCUCAUCUUUUACCAGGGUAUGUGGCAAAAACUGUGAGCUACAGGAAAAGAACUAAUAAAUGCCAUGCAAAAAUAAAGGCCCUCUGCCUUUCUAACAAAAGUUGCCAAUCAAACGUCAGAAAAUGUAUGGGCACACUCCUGUAUGCAUAUGCACGUGCAGGCAUGCGUGCACACCCGUGCACCAGGACAACGUGCUAUUAUACAGAAGCUUCAGAUGAUCUUUUAAUACCGUGUCUUCUGAUGACACAAUGCCCCAUUUUUCUGUUUUAA
This 399-nucleotide long non-coding RNA is filed under the name Capra hircus (goat). RNAcentral describes it as "lncRNA (ENSCHIG00010004311.1)". The record is from RNAcentral. Lineage: Eukaryota; Metazoa; Chordata; Mammalia; Artiodactyla; Bovidae.